Molecule: ribosomal RNA, 319 nt
Filed under: uncultured bacterium
Lineage: Bacteria
Description: bacterial SSU rRNA
Rfam family: Bacterial small subunit ribosomal RNA
Source: RNAcentral
AACGAACGCUGGCGGCAUGCCUAACACAUGCAAGUCGAACGGGAUCCUGGUUUCGGCCAGGUGAGAGUGGCGGACGGGUGAGUAACGCGUGGGAACCUGCCCAGUGGUGGGGGAUAACUGCGGGAAACUGCAGCUAAUACCGCAUGAGCCCGAAAGGGGAAAGAUUGAUCGCCAUUGGAGGGGCCCGCGUUCGAUUAGGUAGUUGGUGAGGUAACGGCUCACCAAGCCUUCGAUCGANAGCUGGUCUGAGAGGAUGAUCAGCCACACUGGGACUGAGAUACGGCCCAGACUCCUACGGGAGGCAGCAGUGGGGAAUAUU